RNAcentral lists this long non-coding RNA (224 nucleotides) under Brassica napus (rape). RNAcentral describes it as "long non-coding RNA (BNAP_LNC017061)". The record is from RNAcentral. Lineage: Eukaryota; Viridiplantae; Streptophyta; Magnoliopsida; Brassicales; Brassicaceae.
GUCUACGAUAGAGGCUAAGAGAUCAUUUUUGUUCCUGCCAAAGUGCUCCGAGAGCCCAAGGUAUUUGCCUACUCUACCCUCUUUCUCAAUGCCCAUGGCCUCCUUUAUACGCAGUUUUUAUUCAGGAGUUGUUUUUUUCUGAGAAGGUGAUAGACGAUUUACUUGCAUUAAUCAUGUGGCCCGAUGCUCUCUCAUAAUCAUUUAAAAUUGUUUUGAGUGUUGAG